GAAGAACCUCUUAUUCUUAUGCAAAUGGGUUUUUCCAACAGGGAGAGAAACUUUUAAUUGCCAUUGGAUGGAGAUGGACUCCUCGGCUGGAGGAGGGGAAGGCACCAUGCAUGCGUGGCAGGGAAUGCUGGCCAGCCAGCCAAGCGGGGACUUGGGCCAUGCGCCAUAGCCCCAGGCACUGUUCUAGGCAUUGAAGAUACAGAAGUAACCUAAAUGGAUAUUAACUUUUCUCAUGGUGUUCCGGUGUGGGAAGACAGACAAUAAUAAUACAAAAGAGUGAAUAUGUGUCAGAGUGUGAAGAGAGUUUUGGAGAAAAAAGACAGAGUUGGUAGAUAGUACUGGGGUUGCUAUUUUAGACAGGAUGAUCAGGAAAAAUCUCUUUAAUUUGGUGAAAAUUAAGCAAACACCAAAAUGCAAUGAGGUGGCUAUGUUGGGGAAAAUGUAAAUUACAAUUUAUAAAAUGCAUUACAAAGUGUAUUAUUUUAUUUGAGUUCUACAACAACUGUAGGAAGCUAGAUAUAUAUUAUUAUCAUUCUUAAUCUUGUGGAAACUACAGUUAAGAGAGGGCAAGGGAGUUGAAGUUACCUGCCUAGUAGAGAGGGGUGUUAUAUUUAAUCCAAGUCAAAUAUUACUAGUUCAGCAACAGGUCUUGACAAAAUUGCUUACUUUCUCUAAGCCUCAGUCACCUAAUUAUUAAGAUGGGGAUAAUAGUAAUAGUGACCCCAUAGAGUUGUGACAAUUGUAAGAUGAUCUGUAUAAAUCAAUUUAGUGUUUGGCAUAGGCGUCUGACAAGCCUUGACUCUAGAUCAGGGGUCAGCAAACUAUUGCCCUCAGGCCAUAGCCGGUCUGCUGUCUGUUUUUGUAAAACAUGCGAGCUAAGAAUGGUUUUUACAUUUUAAAUGGUUGGAAAAACCAAAAGAACAUUAUGUGGACUUCAAAUAUCAUUGUCCAUAAAUAAAGUUUUAUUGGAACACAGUCAUUCUCAUUCAUUUAUGUUUGUCUAAAGCUGUUUUAUGCUACAACAGCAAAAUUGAGGAGUUAUAACAGAG
This 1049-nucleotide long non-coding RNA is filed under the name Homo sapiens (human). Its description in RNAcentral is "HSALNT0147591". Lineage: Eukaryota; Metazoa; Chordata; Mammalia; Primates; Hominidae. The record is from RNAcentral.